UACAGAGGUCCCAAGCGUUGUUCGGAUUCACUGGGCGUAAAGGGUGCGUAGGUGGUGGGGUAAGUUUGAUGUGAAAGCUCCGGGCUUAACCCGGAAAUGGCAUUGAAUACUAUCUCGCUUGAGGGUUGGAGGGGAGACUGGAAUUCUUGGUGUAGCAGUGAAAUGCGUAGAUAUCAAGAGGAACACCAGUGGCGAAGGCGAGUCUCUGGACAACUCCUGACACUGAGGCACGAAAGCUAGGGGAGCAAACAGG
RNAcentral lists this ribosomal RNA (253 nucleotides) under uncultured bacterium. RNAcentral describes it as "partial 16S ribosomal RNA". It matches the Rfam family "Bacterial small subunit ribosomal RNA", at positions 524 to 776 of the family's 1533-position model. The record is from RNAcentral.